AAGCAUAUCAAUAAGCGGAGGAAAAAGAAACCAACAGGGAUUGCCUCAGUAACGGCGAGUGAAGCGGCAACAGCUCAAAUUUGAAAUCUGGCCCCCCGGCCCGAGUUGUAAUUUGCAGAGGAUGCUUCUGGCGACGCGCCUUCCGAGUUCCCUGGAACGGGACGCCACAGAGGGUGAGAGCCCCGUCCGGUCGUGCGCCUAGCCUGUGUGAAGCUCCUUCGACGAGUCGAGUAGUUUGGGAAUGCUGCUCUAAAUGGGAGGUAUACGUCUUCUAAAGCUAAAUACCGGCCAGAGACCGAUAGCGCACAAGUAGAGUGAUCGAAAGAUGAAAAGCACUUUGAAAAGAGGGUUAAAUAGUACGUGAAAUUGCUGAAAGGGAAGCGCUUAUGACCAGACUUGGGCCCGGUGAAUCACCCAGCGUUCUCGCUGGUGCACUUUGCCGGCCCAGGCCAGCAUCAGUUCGCGCCGGGGGAUAAAGGCUUCGGGAAUGUAGCUCCCUCGGGAGUGUUAUAGACCGUUGCGCAAUACCCUGGGGCGGACUGAGGUACGCGUUCUGCAAGGAUGCUGGCGUAAUGGUCAUCAGUGACCCGUCUUGAAACACGGACCAAGGAGUCGUCUUUGUAUGCGAGUGUUCGGGUGUCAAACCCCUACGCGUAAUGAAAGUGAACGUAGGAGAGAGCUUCGGCGCAUCUCCGACCGAUCCUGAUGUUCUCGGAUGGAUUUGAGUAAGAGCAUACAGGGCCGGACCCGAAAGAAGGUGAACUAUGCCUGUAUAGGGUGAAGCCAGAGGAAACUCUGGUGGAGGCUCGCAGCGGUUCUGACGUGCAAAUCGAUCGUCAAAUAUGGGCAUGGGGGGCGAAAGACUAAUCGAACCUUCUAGUAGCUGGUUUCCGCCGAAGU
RNAcentral lists this ribosomal RNA (900 nucleotides) under Hapsidospora flava. RNAcentral describes it as "LSU rRNA". It matches the Rfam family "Eukaryotic large subunit ribosomal RNA", at positions 36 to 967 of the family's 3401-position model. Lineage: Eukaryota; Fungi; Ascomycota; Sordariomycetes; Hypocreales; Bionectriaceae. The record is from RNAcentral.